This 446-nucleotide ribosomal RNA is filed under the name uncultured Oscillibacter sp. Its description in RNAcentral is "partial 16S ribosomal RNA". Lineage: Bacteria; Bacillati; Bacillota; Clostridia; Eubacteriales; Oscillospiraceae. The record is from RNAcentral.
CACGUAGUUAGCCGUGGCUUAUUCAAGAGGUACCGUCUUCUGCUCUUCCCUCUUAAAAGAAGUUUACAACCCGAAAGCCUUCUUCCUUCACGCGGCGUUGCUGGGUCAGGCUUGCGCCCAUUGCCCAAUAUUCCCCACUGCUGCCUCCCGUAGGAGUCUGGGCCGUAUCUCAGUCCCAAUGGUGGCCGGUCAACCUCUCAGUCCGGCUACUGAUCGUCGCCUAGGUGGGCCGUUACCCCGCUACUAGCUAAUCAGACGCGAGGCCAUCUUCCAGCGAUAAUCUUUGGUGUCUCGAUGAUGCCAUACGAACACAUCAUGCGGUAUUAGCAGUCGUUCAACUGUUCGUCCCCUGUGGAACGGCACGGUUCCCUCUACGGCCGUUACUCCACCACGUCCCGCCACUAGCUACUUCCCUUCCGUAUUACGUCCCGUAAAACCUUCCGUUU